AGAGUUUGAUUAUGGCUCAGGAUGAACGCUAGCGGCAGGCUUAACACAUGCAAGUCGAGGGGUAACAGGGACUGCUUGCAGUCCGCUGACGACCGGCGCACGGGUGAGUAACACGUAUGCAACUUACCUCUAACUGGAGAAUAGCCCCGAGAAAUCGGGAUUAAUACUCCAUAGUAAGCUUUUAUCGCAUGAUAGAAGUUUUAAAGUUUCGGCGGUUAGAGAUGGGCAUGCGACCCAUUAGUUAGUUGGUGAGGUAACGGCUCACCAAGGCUACGAUGGGUAGGGGGCCUGAGAGGGUGAUCCCCCACACUGGUACUGAGACACGGACCAGACUCCUACGGGAGGCAGCAGUGAGGAAUAUUGGACAAUGGGCGAAAGCCUGAUCCAGCCAUGCCGCGUGCAGGAAGACGGCCCUCUGGGUUGUAAACUGCUUUUAUACGGGAAGAAACCCUCCGACGUGUCGGAGGCUGACGGUACCGUACGAAUAAGCACCGGCUAACUCCGUGCCAGCAGCCGCGGUAAUACGGAGGGUGCAAGCGUUAUCCGGAUUUAUUGGGUUUAAAGGGUCCGUAGGCGGAAGAUUAAGUCAGUGGUGAAAUCCUGCAGCUCAACUGUAGAAUUGCCAUUGAAACUGGUUUUCUUGAAUAUGUACGAAGUGGGCGGAAUAUGACAUGUAGCGGUGAAAUGCUUAGAUAUGUCAUAGAACACCGAUUGCGAAGGCAGCUCACUAGUCCAUUAUUGACGCUGAGGGACGAAAGCGUGGGGAGCGAACAGGAUUAGAUACCCUGGUAGUCCACGCUGUAAACGAUGAUCACUCGUCAUUGGCGAUAUACUGUCAGUGACCAAGCGAAAGUGUUUAGUGAUCCACCUGGGGAGUACGAUCGCAAGAUUGAAACUCAAAGGAAUUGACGGGGGCCCGCACAAGCGGUGGAGCAUGUGGUUUAAUUCGAUGAUACGCGAGGAACCUUACCAGGGCUUGAACGCAAAUUGACAGGCUGGGAAACCAGCCCUCCUUCGGGCAAUUUGCGAGGUGCUGCAUGGUUGUCGUCAGCUCGUGCCGUGAGGUGUCAGGUUAAGUCCUAUAACGAGCGCAACCCCUAUUCUUAGUUGCCAGCGGAUAAUGCCGGGGACUCUAGGAAAACUGCCAGCGCAAGCUGUGAGGAAGGUGGGGAUGACGUCAAAUCAUCACGGCCCUUACGUCCUGGGCUACACACGUGCUACAAUGGCGAGUACAAAGGGCAGCUACCUGGUGACAGGAUGCUAAUCUCUAAAGCUCGCCUCAGUUCGGAUUGGAGUCUGCAACUCGACUCUAUGAAGCUGGAAUCGCUAGUAAUCGCGCAUCAGCCAUGGCGCGGUGAAUACGUUCCCGGGCCUUGUACACACCGCCCGUCAAGCCAUGGAAGCUGGGGGUGCCUAAAGUCGGUCACCGCAAGGAGCCGCCUAGGGCAAAACUAGUAACUGGGGCUAAGUCGUAACAAGGUAACCGU
Molecule: ribosomal RNA, 1487 nt
Filed under: uncultured bacterium
Lineage: Bacteria
Description: bacterial SSU rRNA
Rfam family: Bacterial small subunit ribosomal RNA
Source: RNAcentral